Molecule: ribosomal RNA, 482 nt
Filed under: uncultured bacterium
Lineage: Bacteria
Description: partial 16S ribosomal RNA
Rfam family: Bacterial small subunit ribosomal RNA
Source: RNAcentral
GACGAACGCUGGCGGCGUGCUUAACACAUGCAAGUCGAACGCUGAAGCUCAGCUUGCUGGGUGGUUGAGUGGCGAACGGGUGAGUAACACGUGAGUAACCUGCCCUCUUCUUUGGGAUAACGCCCGGAAACGGGUGCUAAUACUGGAUAUUCACUGAUUCUCGCAUGGGGGUUGGUGGAAAGGUUUUUUCUGGUGGGGGAUGGGCUCGCGGCCUAUCAGCUUGUUGGUGGGGUGAUGGCCUACCAAGGCUUUGACGGGUAGCCGGCCUGAGAGGGUGACCGGUCACAUUGGGACUGAGAUACGGCCCAGACUCCUACGGGAGGCAGCAGUGGGGAAUAUUGCACAAUGGGCGAAAGCCUGAUGCAGCGACGCCGCGUGAGGGAUGGAGGCCUUCGGGUUGUAAACCUCUUUCGCUCAUGGUCAAGCCGCAGCUUUGGGUUGUGGUGAGGGUAGUGGGUAAAGAAGCGCCGGCUAACUACGUG